AUGAUCCUGUGCUCUUCAGAAAGGGGAGAGUAGCAGAGCUCACAGGGAAAACAAGAUGACAGCUGGGGGGGCCAUUACAUGGGGAGCAGGGGAAAGGACAACAGUGAGUACUUGCCACCUAGAAACUCAGAGGCAGACUAAUUGUUCAGGGUGGUUUAAUGGUAGAGUAAUUCAAGGGAGAUCUUAUACAGUAGGAUUGUGUCCCAAAAGAAGUCUGUUGGCUUGAGUUCUUUGAAGUUGGACUGGAAAAGGCACCGGAGAACAAAGCUGCAGUAUCCUCCAGAGAGUUAGCUGGACUAGGGAAUAUUAAAUCUUUUUCCUAAGUAACUUGGUGAGUGCAUGGCAAAUGGUCUACUUCAGGCUUUGGCAACCUAUGGCUCAGGGUCUACUUCAGGGUUUGGCAACCUAGGGAGCCUGAUGUGGCUUUUCUGGAGCCCCAGCUCAGCCCCCUCAAACUCUCCCUGCAGCAGGGAGCCAGCGCUGGUGCUACAGCCUUAUGGCCCCUGCAAGAUUGGAACACCAGUGCUGGAGGAGAAAGUCCUGAGCCUCUGCACGGGAUCUGGCGUGCGGGGAACAAAAUGGCUCAGUCCACCACCCUUUCCCUUCCCCCGGCGUGCAGAACAUCGGGAACCAGCAGUGGGUCUGUGUGCGCUACCGUUUUCUUUCCUCUGGGAAACACUUCCUGGAGGCUUCCCCUGCAAAUCCUUCUUGGCACAUGGGAGCAGAGGGAGGCCGUGUUAUAUGCGGCACGAAAGUAAACUCCUGCACCCCCACAUGCCCAGCCCCCUGCCAGAAGAUUGACAGAAGACCGCCUGACUGCCUGCAUGAAGCUGGAUUUGACAAGUUAUGAUGUAAACUCCAAAGAACUGUGUGAAAAGAUGCAGCAGCAGAAGCCCCAUCAAAUAAAGUCUUUGACUACAAUGUUUCGUUUAUGCUACUAUUAAUCAUUGUCGAUUGUCAAUAAUAUUAAGUUGUGUAUUUUCAGUCAUGCCAACGUGACUUCCUGUCUGGCUCUUUGUUGACCCUUGUUCUGAAUUUUGAUGUAGUUUGGCUCUUGGGUUUGGUUUGGCCUCCCAGCCAAACUAUUCAGGAUCCCCUGUCAGAGGCUCCAAGAUCUACUGGUAGAUCCUGAUGGACUGGUUGGUGACUACUGGUCUACAGCAUGUGCAUUUUUGCCCUUUCGGGGGCUUCCCAAGCUACUUAUACCUGCGACACCAAUUGCCGUUCCCGUUGGUACCGUUUUUCCUGAGAGAACAGUAGAGAGAGAGAGAGCGAGCUUAGCAUUGCGGUCAAGCCUAUUCGUACCACAAUUUACCUACCGUGAAUGUCUGUAUCUGGAGGAUCUCAUUUUCUGGACUCAGUGCUUGUUUUCUCUUAGGGAGUAGCUGCUGCUAGUGGGUCUCCAAAGCAGCCAUUAAAAGCAACAAACAGUAGGAGGGGAUUGUCAUCCAAAUGUAUCUUUGCUGCACGGUUCUCCUCUUUUUGCUACCUUUUUGUUCCCUUCUCCCACUCCAGCCUUUGUCCAAAGAAUGGAGGUCAGUGUGAAAUCCUCUCUUCUACAUCGUGCCAGAAAUGCUCGUUGUCCUUCCAACUGCUCCUUUCCCUCCUCCUCCCGCUGUUUGCUGCUGUUCUUGUGCUAGGUCGUUCUUAACUGAAGCAUCCUAGCCAAUGCCGUGCCGUUCUUAGCACUUGCUUAGAGCCCUCCCAUCCUUUUUCCUGUUUCCUUCUCUCUGUUCUCCGUUGGUCUGAUUUAGACAGUAAUCUUUUGGGUCACGGUGUCUCUGAGAGGCACGUUGCUAAUUCCCGAUGCGAUAUAAAUAUUAAGCAUUGUGAAAUACACAUGGUUUGGCUGUUUUUUUUAAAAAAAAAAGCAUUUGUGAUUUUUCAUCCCUUCAGAAAUCAUGCUUCGAUUCAGUUUAAUAAUCAUGGGGGGCCGGAUUCUGACGUUCUUAUUUAUAUUGAGUAACAUCUUGCUCCAUGAAGAGUGGCCCCGUGAGAAAUGUUUUGUUACUACUUGUGAGCGAUCACAUCUGCUCAUUGAAAGGUUGAAAUUUACCAAAAAUCGUCCCCUGAUCUGCUAUAGGAUUGCUCAUGAGUCCUGUGCUACUGGCAUGGAAUUAAAUAGGCAAUGCAACUCCUGUCUUCACAACAUGUCAGGGACAGCAAAACAUUUUGGGUCCUUGUCAGUUUGAGGAAGUGUCUGAUAUACAUGCGCUAAUAUUGGACGGCAGCUGUAAUUCAGACAAGACAGGCAUUCAGGGAUCAGAUAAACAGGGCAGCACUGUGACAGAGCACUGAGGCAUUGAUGGGCACUUUAGCAAGGCUGAGAAGUGGAACACGUGCAUAAAUGUUGACAUGUGUUUUUAACGGCUUGAAGGCAAGGCGGAAGGUGAAUCAAAUAUGAAACCUCCUGACCUUGGUAAUGCCCAUUGUAAUGACUGUAUCUCAUUUCCUUAUCUUACCAGCAGUUCCCCGAAACUGAAAGGAUAACUGCUUGGCGGUCCGUGCUUGCUUGGAAGAUCAAUAUGUUACUCUGCAGUCUGUAGUUACAGCUCUGAAAACAGCCACCCUGUGACUCUCCUUCAGGGAAGACAGACUCUAGAGAGCAGUGUUUCUUUCUCGGAGUCACUUUGAUGGUACCUAGCACCCUCUGUGUUAAGAGCUCUCCCCCACAUCAAACAGCCAUAUGCUUCCCCCAUGCGUUCCAGGCUUGUUGCUUUCGGAGACAUUGGCUUAUAAAGAGGUUUUCACUUCGUACUGCUGCUGCUUUUUUCCCAGAUCACUGCAGUCGUGGCAGAAAGUGCAGUGAAAUCUCUCUCUGUCCUGGGAAAAUGAUUAAUGUUGGAAACCGUGUUGACUAGUUCGCUUUAAUUACCACAGUAGUAAACAUCUCGUUUCAGA
Non-coding RNA from Pelodiscus sinensis (Chinese soft-shelled turtle), 2901 nucleotides. NCBI's taxonomy places the organism in Eukaryota, Metazoa, Chordata, Testudines, Trionychidae. The record is from RefSeq and is a predicted model, not a curated record.